AUUGAACGCUGGCGGCAUGCUUUACACAUGCAAGUCGAACGGUAACAGGCCUUCGGGUGCUGACGAGUGGCGAACGGGUGAGUAAUGCAUCGGAACGUACCCAGGGGUGGGGGAUAACGCAGCGAAAGCUGUGCUAAUACCGCAUGUGAUCUGAGGAUGAAAGCGGGGGACCGGGCAGCAAUGUUUGGCCUCGCGCCUUUGGACCGCCCGAUGUCGGAUUAGCUAGUUGGUGGGGUAAAGGCCUACCAAGGCGACGAUCCGUAGCUGGUCUGAGAGGACGACCAGCCACACUGGGACUGAGACACGGCCCAGACUCCUACGGGAGGCAGCAGUGGGGAAUUUUGGACAAUGGGCGCAAGCCUGAUCCAGCAAUGCCGCGUGCGGGAAGAAGGCCUUCGGGUUGUAAACCGCUUUUGGCAGGAACGAAACGGUGUCCGCUAAUACCGGGCGCUAAUGACGGUACCUGCAGAAUAAGCACCGGCUAACUACGUG
This 492-nucleotide ribosomal RNA is filed under the name uncultured bacterium. Its description in RNAcentral is "partial 16S ribosomal RNA". It matches the Rfam family "Bacterial small subunit ribosomal RNA", at positions 29 to 507 of the family's 1533-position model. The record is from RNAcentral.